CCCUGUUCCGUGUGCAGCAUCUUCUAUUCGCUGCCCUGAAACUCUCGUGUGAAGGGGGGACAGCUCCAUUCUGGGAAGGCGUGGCUUCUGCUAGUCGAGCCGCUCAAAAAGCUGGUAUUCACAGAGAGGCCACUAAUUGCAGAAGGUUGCCCCCCUUAUUACAAGAAAAUGGCGCCCAAGAGUUGGAAAAAGAGGCUCGACGGAGGACCUUCUGCAGCCUUUAUGCUUUGGACAGCCAUUUAGCCAGACAGCUGGAUCGGAUUCCGUUCUUGCCAGACAAUUCAGUCGUGGAGAUAUUACCCCGGUUGCGCUUAAUCGCUGAUAUUGGCGAUUCACCAUCAGACAUAGAUGGUAGUGCUCCCGAUAUAUUCACCGAGCGGCUCAUGGAAGUUCAGCUAGCCCGAUUCUGUCGGAGUCUAAAUUUAAAGCAGAACUCUAAGUAUGACCCAACAGAGAGUGAGCACAGAUAUGAGAGACUUUGCGCCGAAUAUCUCCCUAGCGUACACGCGGCUUUCGCUGUAGACAAACCAGAUAUGACAUGGGACGAGGCUCUCCCCAAGCUACCCAUGCAAAGGCAGCUUUUCUACAUCGCUAUUUUCGACUCGGUCUGUUGGAAUUUCCGACCCCUUCUAUUACUCAAACCUAACGAUGUCGCAAGUCUACCGCCUUACAAGCGCGUACUCCUGCAAUCGCAAAAGCUAAGGCUCGGCCUCGCUGCACUGAAAGAGCUCGAGGCCGUGACCGCCCUCCAUUUAAUGUUUGGCGGCUCAUACACGCGCUUUGGCGCUAUCAUUUUCAACACCUUCGAGGCUGCCGUACUUUUACUCUGUCUUUGCACGCAUGCAGAUUUCCCAUUUGACC
This 861-nucleotide small RNA is filed under the name Histoplasma capsulatum var. duboisii H88. RNAcentral describes it as "Histoplasma capsulatum H88 hypothetical RNA". Lineage: Eukaryota; Fungi; Ascomycota; Eurotiomycetes; Onygenales; Ajellomycetaceae. The record is from RNAcentral.